RNAcentral lists this ribosomal RNA (440 nucleotides) under uncultured bacterium. RNAcentral describes it as "bacterial SSU rRNA". It matches the Rfam family "Bacterial small subunit ribosomal RNA", at positions 338 to 795 of the family's 1533-position model. The record is from RNAcentral.
CCUACGGGGGGCAGCAGUGGGGAAUAUUGCACAAUGGGUGAAACCCUGAUGCAGCAACGCCGCGUGAGCGAUGAAGGCCUUGGGGUCGUAAAGCUCUGUCCUAAGGGAAGAAUACUGACUGUACCUUAGGAGGAAGCCCCGGCUAACUACGUGCCAGCAGCCUCGGUAAUACGGAGGGGGCUAGCGUUAUCCGGAAUUACUGGGCGUAAAGGGUGCGUAGGCGGCCCGUCAAGUCAGAGGUGAAAGGCUACGGCUCAACCGUAGUAAGCCUUUGAAACUGUAGGGCUUGAGUGCAGGCGAGGAGAGUGGAAUUCCCAGUGUAGCGGUGAAAUGCGUAGUUACUGGGAGGAACUCCAGUUGCGAAGGCGGGUUUCUGGACUGUAACUGACGCUGAGGAACGAAAGCGUGGGGAGCGAACAGGAUUAGAGACCCCACUAGUC